Molecule: long non-coding RNA, 1130 nt
Organism: Bombus pascuorum
Lineage: Eukaryota; Metazoa; Arthropoda; Insecta; Hymenoptera; Apidae
Exons: 2
Source: RefSeq, a predicted model, not a curated record
UAGAGCAGUCAGCAACAUGCUGAAAAAUAGCUAACAGAAAAGUCAUUAAUAUACUCGCAUACACAAACUUACUUACGAAUAAUUAUUUAUAAUUACUAACAGUUCUUGAAAUUAUUAACUACUUAACGAAUUUCAAACUUCCUUUUGCUCGCUGCUUUAUAACUAACGAAACUUCAUUAUAUCAGUACAAUAUAACGUUAGGACUAAUUCGAUGAAACUUCAUUGAUACCUACCUUUCGCUAUCUGUCCAAUUAUUUUUGUCUCCGACUGUAUCUCGGACACAGAAAGGACGACGGAAGAAGGCGAGCGCACCGGUUACGUUACAGGGUAAUUUAUCAGGGCACAAGAUCUUCCGGUUACUGGUAGUGGCAUGUAAUAACGAAGACGACGACGACGGCGACGAAUACACCGUCUAGAUUGUAUUUGUGUAAUGGUUACAUCGCGGACGAAAAAUCUGUGUGGAACGCGAACGUCGGCGCGGCAAGUUGUGUGCCAGCAAAGGUAGAAGAGCAAAGAGCCGUAGAGAGUGACAAAUUUUACGAGAGACGGGGAAAAAAGAAGAGACAGGGAACAUGGUGAAAGUUACGAGAAUUGAAGAGCAGAGGGAACGAGAGACGGAAAAUUAUGAUGGUAAAAAGAGAUAGAGAAAAGAGAGAGGUUUACAGAGGAAGAUAUUGACUUGUUCGAUAAUUUUUUAGUUUUUUAAACAGUCUGUUUGUUCUAUUACGUCCUGUAUAUUCGUAUUCAGCCGAGAUUUAAACAUAAUUAAUUUUCUACUUUGGAAAAUACUGCGUCGCUGAUACUAAUUUUAGCUGCACAUCAAGUGCAUCUAUUAAAGGAACAAAUCGGGUAUUUGUCAAUAGAAAGAAGGUGAUUUUUCAACGAGCAACAUUUUAUAUUUUAUAUUUUGUAUAAAAGCUAGGUAAAGAACGAUCGACAUUUAUCAACCGUCUAUUCCAUCGUGUUUAUAUUCUGAUAAAUGAACACUGCAGAAGCCUUUCAAACGUACUUCAGGGAAUUCAUUGGUAAGUUGGCUGAGUAAAACAAAGCGCAAUAUAGGAAGCAAAACGUUACAAAAAUAUAUUUUAUUAUACGCUACCUGUACAAAGCGAUAGAUAUUUUAACAGAAA